AAAAGAAACCAACAGGGAUUGCCUCAGUAACGGCGAGUGAAGCGGCAACAGCUCAAAUUUGAAAUCUGGCGUCCUCGACGUCCGAGUUGUAAUUUGCAGAGGAUACUUCGGCAUCGGUGCUGCUCCAGGUUCUUUGGAACAGGACGCCACAGAGGGUGAGAGCCCCGUCUCUGGGUGGUGCUAGAUGCCAUGUGAAGUGCCUUCGACGAGUCGAGUUGUUUGGGAAUGCAGCUCUAAAUGGGAGGUAAAUUUCUUCCAAAGCUAAAUACAGGUUGGAGACCGAUAGCGCACAAGUAGAGUGAUCGAAAGAUGAAAAGUACUUUGGAAAGAGAGUCAAACAGCGCGUGAAAUUGUUAAAAGGGAAGCGCUUGCAGUCAGACUUGGCCGCCCGGUUCGGCCGUCCCUCGUGGACGGUCUCCGCCGUGGCGGGCAGGCCAGCAUUACUUUGGGCGGGCGGAUAAAGGCCGCGGGAAUGUGGCACCCCUCGGGGUGUGUUAUAGCCCGUGGCACAAUACGUCCUGCCUGGAGUAAGGAACGCGCUUCGGCUCGGAUGCUGGCGUAAUGGCUGCAAGCGGCCCGUCUUGAAACACGGACCAAGGAGUCUAACAUCUGUGCGAGUGUUUGGGUGUCAAGCCCUUACGCGUAAUGAAAGUGAACGGAGGUGGGAGCCCUCGGGCGCACCAUCGACCGAUCCUGAUGUCUUCGGAAGGAUUUGAGUAAGAGCACAGCUGUUGGGACCCGAAAGAUGGUGAACUAUGCCUAAGCAGGGUGAAGCCAGAGGAAACUCUGGUGGAGGCUCGCAGCGGUUCUGACGUGCAAAUCGAUCGUCAAAUUUGGGUAUAGGGGCGAAAGACUAAUCGAACC
Molecule: ribosomal RNA, 864 nt
Filed under: Radulidium subulatum
Lineage: Eukaryota; Fungi; Ascomycota; Dothideomycetes; Acrospermales; Acrospermaceae
Description: eukaryotic LSU rRNA
Rfam family: Eukaryotic large subunit ribosomal RNA
Source: RNAcentral